AUUUAGAGUUUGAUUUAGAGUUUAGGAUUUGGAUUAGGAUUUGGUUAGGGUUUGAUUUAGGGUUUGGAUUAGGAUUUGGAUUAGGAUUUAGAGUUUGGUUAGGAUUUGAUUUAGGGUUUGGAUUAGGGUUUGGUUAGGGUUUGAUUUAAGAUUUGGUUUAGGAUUUAGGGUUUGGAUUAGCGUUUAGGGUUGAUUUAGGAUUUGGUUUUGGAUUUAGGAUUUGAAAUAGGGUUUAAUUUAUGGUUUGUUUAGGAUUUGACUUAGGAUUUAGGAUUUAUUAGGGUUUAAGAUUUAAUUAGGUUUGGUCUAAAGUUUGAGUGAAAUUCAAUAGGGUUUUAACUAGAAUUAAAUUAAGGUUGAAUUGACAUAUAUUUGUGUAAUAUUUGUGAUCAUUCUAAUAUUUUUUUAAGAAUUCUAUUGUUUGUUUGAAAUUUCUUUGAGUUGUUUUGAAUUUAAUUACGUUGGUUUACCAUUAUUAUAGUCUAAUAAGAGCAUUGUUAGUAUUCUAUUAGAAUU
This 516-nucleotide long non-coding RNA is filed under the name Physcomitrium patens. Its description in RNAcentral is "long non-coding RNA (PPAT_LNC002128)". The record is from RNAcentral. Lineage: Eukaryota; Viridiplantae; Streptophyta; Bryopsida; Funariales; Funariaceae.